ACUGCUCAGUAACACGUGGAUAACAUGCCCUAAGGUGGGGGAUAAUCUCGGGAAACUGAGGAUAAUACCCCAUAGAUCAUAGAUGCUGGAAUGCUCUUUGGUCGAAAACUCCGGUGCCUUAGGAUUGGUCUGCGGUCUAUCAGGCUGUAGUGGGUGUAAUGGACCCACUAGCCCGUGACGGAUAUGGGCCUUGAGAGAGGGUGCCCAGAGAUGGACUCUGAGACAUGAGUCCAGGCCCUACGGGGCGCAGCAGUCGCGAAAACUUCGCAAUGGGGGAAACCCCGACGAGGGAAUUCCAAGUGCCAGCACUCUGUGUUGGCUGUUCUUCUGUCUAAAAAACAGGAGAAGUAAGGGGCGGGUAAGACGGGUGCCAGCCGCCGCGGUAAUACCCGCGCCCCGAGUGGUGGUCGAUAUUAUUGAGCCUAAAACGUCCGUAGCCGGUCUUCUAAAUCCUUGGGUAAAUCGGGCAGCUUAACUGUCCGAAUUCCGGGGAGACUGGGAGACUUGGGACCGGGAGAGGUCAGAGGUACUUCUGGGGUAGGGGUAAAAUCCUGUAAUCCUGGAAGGACCACCGGUGGCGAAGGCGUCUGACUAGAACGGAUCCGACGGUGAGGGACGAAGCCCUGGGGCGCAAACGGGAUUAGAUACCCCGGUAGUCCAGGGUGUAAACGCUGCGGGCUUGGUGUUGGGGGUCCUUAGUGGGCGCCCAGUGCCGGAGAGAAGUUGUUAAGCCUGCUGCUUGGGGAGUAUGUCCGCAAGGAUGAAACUUAAAGGAAUUGGCGGGGGAGCAC
RNAcentral lists this ribosomal RNA (791 nucleotides) under uncultured Thermoplasmatales archaeon. Its description in RNAcentral is "bacterial SSU rRNA". It matches the Rfam family "Archaeal small subunit ribosomal RNA", at positions 85 to 879 of the family's 1478-position model. Lineage: Archaea; Methanobacteriati; Thermoplasmatota; Thermoplasmata; Thermoplasmatales. The record is from RNAcentral.